This is a long non-coding RNA of Xiphias gladius (swordfish), 514 nucleotides long. RefSeq lists it as uncharacterized. Lineage: Eukaryota; Metazoa; Chordata; Actinopteri; Istiophoriformes; Xiphiidae. The transcript has 3 exons. The record is from RefSeq and is a predicted model, not a curated record.
GAUAAAUCAAACACAGAUACAGACACUCGGUGUGGCCGGCAAGUUUGUUAAGUCAGGUACUGGUGACAAACAGCCUGGCUGGCACUCGAAUCAGAUUCCACACACAAACAGUCCGGGAUGCCCUAUGAGAGAUACACACAAGCGUGCACUGUGGAUAGAGAGGGAGAUGGGAGAUGGCAGACAGCCAGCGGAUUAUGAAAUAUAGCAGGGUGCGUGUCUGCGUGGGACUGAUAAACACUCCGUCUGUUCUUCAUGCCUUUAUCACCUUGAUGGACGUGGGACCUGGAAACUGUGGGAGAGAAGACUUUUCCAUCUCUGUCUGUUUAUUCUCUUGAGCGAAGAGAUGUGGACCGCAGCUGUGUGGGAGUUCACAACAACCUCGGCCCAAGUGAAAGGAUCUCGUGAUUUUCCAAAUUCAAAACUUUUACAGGCGGAUUGUCAGAUGAAAUAGCUCUCUGGAGGUUGUCACGUUUCAAAGUGUCUGGUGCCAAAAGUAUAAAGGGCUAAAACUUUA